CAGCAGCCACGGUAAUACGUAGGGUGCAAGCGUUAAUCGGAAUUACUGGGCGUAAAGCGCACGCAGGCGGUUUGUUAAGUCAGAUGUGAAACCCCCGAGCUUAACUUGGGAACUGCAUUUGAAACUGGCAAGCUAGAGUCUUGUAGAGGGGGGUAGAAUUCCAGGUGUAGCGGUGAAAUGCGUAGAGAUCUGGAGGAAUACCGGUGGCGAAGGCGGCCCCCUGGACAAAGACUGACGCUCAGGUGCGAAAGCGUGGGGAGCAAACAGGAUUAGAUACCCGGGUAGUCCCUGUCUCUUAUAC
This 301-nucleotide ribosomal RNA is filed under the name uncultured bacterium. RNAcentral's name for it is "partial 16S ribosomal RNA". It matches the Rfam family "Bacterial small subunit ribosomal RNA", at positions 509 to 807 of the family's 1533-position model. The record is from RNAcentral.